RNAcentral lists this ribosomal RNA (878 nucleotides) under uncultured bacterium. RNAcentral's name for it is "bacterial SSU rRNA". It matches the Rfam family "Bacterial small subunit ribosomal RNA", at positions 8 to 881 of the family's 1533-position model. The record is from RNAcentral.
AGAGUUUGAUCCUGGCUCAGGAUGAACGCUGGCGGCGUGCCUAACACAUGCAAGUCGAACGGAGUUCUUAAGGAAUGCGACUUCGGUCAAAUGACUUUUGAACUUAGUGGCGGACGGGUGAGUAACGCGUGAGCAACCUGCCUUUCAGAGGGGGAUAACAUUUGGAAACAGAUGCUAAUACCGCAUAAGAUUACAGUACCGCAUGAUACAGUGAUCAAAGGAGCAAUCCGCUGAAAGAUGGGCUCGCGUCCGAUUAGAUAGUUGGUGAGGUAACGGCUCACCAAGUCGACGAUCGGUAGCCGGACUGAGAGGUUGAACGGCCACAUUGGGACUGAGACACGGCCCAGACUCCUACGGGAGGCAGCAGUGGGGAAUAUUGCACAAUGGGCGAAAGCCUGAUGCAGCAACGCCGCGUGAGGGAAGACGGUUUUCGGAUUGUAAACCUCUGUUUUCGGUGACGAACAAAUGACGGUAACCGAGUAGGAAGCCACGGCUAACUACGUGCCAGCAGCCGCGGUAAUACGUAGGUGGCAAGCGUUAUCCGGAAUUACUGGGUGUAAAGGGAGCGCAGGCGGGAUAGCAAGUCAGCUGUGAAAACUAUGGGCUCAACCCAUAAACUGCAGUUGAAACUGUUAUUCUUGAGUGGAGUAGAGGCAAGCGGAAUUCCGAGUGUAGCGGUGAAAUGCGUAGAUAUUCGGAGGAACACCAGUGGCGAAGGCGGCUUGCUGGGCUCUAACUGACGCUGAGGCUCGAAAGUGUGGGGAGCAAACAGGAUUAGAUACCCUGGUAGUCCACACUGUAAACGAUGAUUGCUAGGUGUGGGGGGUCUGACCCCCUCCGUGCCGGAGUUAACGCAAUAAGCAAUCCACCUGGGGAGU